RNAcentral lists this non-coding RNA (31 nucleotides) under Mus musculus (house mouse). The record is from RNAcentral. Lineage: Eukaryota; Metazoa; Chordata; Mammalia; Rodentia; Muridae.
UCCAAGGCGCCUUCCUGACCCCUUCACUUGU